UGGGGAAUUUUGCACAAUGGGGGAAACCCUGAUGCAGCGACGCCGCGUGAUUUAGAAGGCCUUCGGGUUGUAAAAAUCUUUUCUAUGGGAAGAAAAUGACAGUACCAUAGGAAUAAGGACCGGCUAAUUACGUGCCAGCAGCCGCGGUAAUACGUAAGGUCCGAGCGUUGUCCGGAAUCAUUGGGCGUAAAGGGUACGUAGGCGGGUAAGCAAGUUAGAAGUGAAAUCCUAUAGCUCAACUAUAGUAAGCUUUUAAAACUGCUCAUCUUGAGGUAUGGAAGGGAAAGUGGAAUUCCUAGUGUAGCGGUGAAAUGCGCAGAUAUUAGGAGGAAUACCGGUUGCGAAGGCGACUUUCUGGCCAUAACCUGACGCUGAGGUACGAAAGCGUGGGUAGCAAACAGG
RNAcentral lists this ribosomal RNA (402 nucleotides) under bacterium. Its description in RNAcentral is "partial 16S ribosomal RNA". It matches the Rfam family "Bacterial small subunit ribosomal RNA", at positions 355 to 776 of the family's 1533-position model. The record is from RNAcentral.